CGGGGUACACGAGCGGCGAACGGGUGAGUAACACGUGGGUGAUCUGCCCUGCACUUCGGGAUAAGCCUGGGAAACUGGGUCUAAUACCGGAUAUGACCUCCUAUCGCAUGGUGGGUGGUGGAAAGAUUUAUCGGUGCAGGAUGGGCCCGCGGCCUAUCAGCUUGUUGGUGGGGUAAUGGCCUACCAAGGCGACGACGGGUAGCCGACCUGAGAGGGUGACCGGCCACACUGGGACUGAGACACGGCCCAGACUCCUACGGGAGGCAGCAGUGGGGAAUAUUGCACAAUGGGCGAAAGCCUGAUGCAGCGACGCCGCGUGAGGGAUGACGGCCUUCGGGUUGUAAACCUCUUUCAGCAGGGACGAAGCGCAAGUGACGGUACCUGCAGAAGAAGCACCGGCUAACUACGUGCCAGCAGCCGCGGUAAUACGUAGGGUGCAAGCGUUGUCCGGAAUUACUGGGCGUAAAGAGUUCGUAGGCGGUUUGUCGCGUCGUUUGUGAAAACCAGCAGCUCAACUGCUGGCUUGCAGGCGAUACGGGCAGACUUGAGUACUGCAGGGGAGACUGGAAUUCCUGGUGUAGCGGUGAAAUGCGCAGAUAUCAGGAGGAACACCGGUGGCGAAGGCGGGUCUCUGGGCAGUAACUGACGCUG
This 651-nucleotide ribosomal RNA is filed under the name Rhodococcus sp. (in: high G+C Gram-positive bacteria). RNAcentral describes it as "bacterial SSU rRNA". It matches the Rfam family "Bacterial small subunit ribosomal RNA", at positions 83 to 748 of the family's 1533-position model. Lineage: Bacteria; Bacillati; Actinomycetota; Actinomycetes; Mycobacteriales; Nocardiaceae. The record is from RNAcentral.